UGUACAAAUCAAUGUUUUGAAAAUAAUGAUCUCAGACUUUCUAAGUUAAAUUUUAAACAAUUUGAUUGUUUGCCAUAUUGGGUGGAUUUACUCUUAGAAUCGCAUGCUGUAGAAAUGCUCUAAAGUGCAUAUAGGACUCAGUCCUUAGAUGUUCUUUUUAUUUUAAGAAAUAACCUCUUCAAGUUGGUAACCGUGGCGGCUUUGUCCAUUACUGUUGCUAUUCUGCACACAUAUCGGAAGCAGCAAGCGCUUUACACACUCGAGUAGUGGGAUAAGUCACUGUUUUCUUUACUUUACAAGAUGAUAGUCCUGUUGGGAAUGACUGCUGCUGGCUUCAGGAAGGGAGGGAAGCUGCUCCGCUGCCUCUUUGCCACUUCCUGGAAGCAGCCUCCAUGGAACAGCCUUUGCAUCUGAGGCAACCAUUUUUACACCGUGCAGAUCUUCGUGGUUAUCAUCUCAAAGCCAUGUUCAGCAGCAGCGUUUGGACAGCAGUGUUCUGUGGGCCCUCCCAUCCCCCUAUAUCCUGCACCCCUCAUAGCAGUAGUGGCUUCGCCAUUCUGUUUUCUGCAGCGUCCUGUACAAAACUGUGCUGUGACUGUGCGGUAGGCCUGGACAUGGCAAAGAGAAUACAGCGAAGCCCCUUCUCUUCCUACCAAACGACUCUGUAGAGCUCUCUGCACCCUGUACCCUUUUCACCUUUUGUAUUUAAUUUUAAAGUCAGUGUACUGCAAGGAGGCUGGAUGCAAGAUAGAUACUAUAUUAAACUGUACUGUUAUUUAAGAUGUAAUAAAGCAGUUUGACAUGAAAAAAAAAAGAUGACUGAAGACAUUAUAAGGUCAUUCUAUUUUAAUGUUCCCUUCUACCUUCCACUUAGUCAUAGCAGAACAAUUACUACAACAUCCUGCU
Molecule: long non-coding RNA, 906 nt
Filed under: Rattus norvegicus (Norway rat)
Lineage: Eukaryota; Metazoa; Chordata; Mammalia; Rodentia; Muridae
Description: long non-coding RNA NONRATT016447
Source: RNAcentral